RNAcentral lists this ribosomal RNA (521 nucleotides) under Arthrobacter sp. hata82. RNAcentral's name for it is "bacterial SSU rRNA". It matches the Rfam family "Bacterial small subunit ribosomal RNA", at positions 119 to 653 of the family's 1533-position model. Lineage: Bacteria; Bacillati; Actinomycetota; Actinomycetes; Micrococcales; Micrococcaceae. The record is from RNAcentral.
GAGUAACCUGCCCUUGACUCUGGGAUAAGCCUGGGAAACUGGGUCUAAUACCGGAUAUGACCUUCCAUCGCAUGGUGGUUGGUGGAAAGCUUUUGUGGUUUUGGAUGGACUCGCGGCCUAUCAGCUUGUUGGUGGGGUAAUGGCCUACCAAGGCGACGACGGGUAGCCGGCCUGAGAGGGUGACCGGCCACACUGGGACUGAGACACGGCCCAGACUCCUACGGGAGGCAGCAGUGGGGAAUAUUGCACAAUGGGCGCAAGCCUGAUGCAGCGACGCCGCGUGAGGGAUGACGGCCUUCGGGUUGUAAACCUCUUUCAGUAGGGAAGAAGCGUAAGUGACGGUACCUGCAGAAUAAGCGCCGGCUAACUACGUGCCAGCAGCCGCGGUAAUACGUAGGGCGCAAGCGUUAUCCGGAAUUAUUGGGCGUAAAGAGCUCGUAGGCGGUUUGUCGUGCUCUGCCGUGAAAGUCCGGGGCUCAACUCCGGAUCUGCGGUGGGUACGGGCAGACUAAAGUGAUGUA